CUAUCGUCUAUCUCUCUCUCUAUCUAUCUAUCUAUCCAUUAUCUAUCUAUCUAUCUAUCUAUCUAUCUAUCUAUCUAUCUAUCUAUCUAUCUAUCUAUCUAUCUAUCUAUCUAUCUAUCCCUGGCCCACAGGUGUAUUUAAUAUGUCAGGGAGUUUUAUCCCCCCAGGCCAGUUAUUUAAUGCUUUAUAAUGACUGGGGAUUUAUAUCAGACUUGUUCUGUGGCCUUUCUUACUCCUGGGGACAAUAAAUAGAAUACUUGUAAAGGUCGAACCAAGUUUGUUAUUGUAACUAAUUGUUUCAGCUGCUGUAAAUCAUCACACGGUCUGUGUUACAAGCCCAAUCCAGAGGCUCUGAAUAUUCAUUAAUAGAGCGAUUUAUAGAAUGACAGGACUGGGUGAGCGAUAUACACACAGUGUGAUUUAUUUACACCGAUAAAUACAAUAAUAUUUACAUUGUUUUCGUCAAAUAUUUUCUACACUUGUUAAGAUAUGUUAUUUCACACGUGGCUUCUUAUAAACCAUAAAAAAUGGUAUUCUAUUCGACAAAUAUAUCCAGUGCUUGUUAUACAAAUAUUUUAUAUUCGUUCACGAAGAUUCAGUUAUAUAAUCAUUUUAUUUCUAGCAAACAUAUAAUGGUUUGAAUUAAGAACUGUCUGCAAAAAUGUCAUUAUUAAUAUCUGUCGUUUUCGAUUUCAAAUAAAUAAAUUAAACAUCGGUUUCGUGCAAAAACAUAUUUCAUUUGAGUGUUACAAAUAUAUAUAUAUAUAUGAUAAUAGAAU
This is a non-coding RNA of Pelobates cultripes (western spadefoot toad), 779 nucleotides long. The record is from the annotation of a GenBank genome assembly. Lineage: Eukaryota; Metazoa; Chordata; Amphibia; Anura; Pelobatidae.